RNAcentral lists this long non-coding RNA (670 nucleotides) under Setaria italica (foxtail millet). RNAcentral's name for it is "long non-coding RNA (SITA_LNC003478)". The record is from RNAcentral. Lineage: Eukaryota; Viridiplantae; Streptophyta; Magnoliopsida; Poales; Poaceae.
GGCUUGGCACCUUCGACACCGCCGGCGCGGCCUCUGCCGCCUACCUGUCCGCUUCCAGGAGCUUCGCCGAUGAAAAACGCCGGCGCCGCGGGCAGCCCGUGCCCGCUUCUUCACCAGCUUCUUCGGCAAGCGCCACCCCGACGGCCUCCUCUUCGUCGUCCACCUCGGCUGCUCCGUUCGCCCACCCGUCGCCGUCCUCCGUGCUCGAAGCCACCAAGCCUGCACUGAAGGCUGAGUCGCCGGAGCCGGUUGCAACACCUAUCCUGCCGUCCACUGAAGCUGCGCAGCUGCCGGACGACCCGGAGUUCUACCAGGACCUUCUGCGCGGGCUGCAGCUACCCGACAUCGACCCGAUGGACUUCCGCGCCGGCCUGGACGCCCUGGAUGUUUCCGAUGCGCCCUUCUGCUUGGACGACGACCAGGACCUGCUGUUCGGGGACUUCGCGGACGAGGAGCUGGAUGAGAUCGACCUCGACCUCGACGACAUCAACGACGUCUUCCCGGAGAUCCCCGGCUGCGACCUCGGCCGCGGCAUGGACGACUUCCUGCAAACCGUGGAUUUCUGCGUGUGAAUUAAGCAAGUGCCUUAGUGUUAUCGAUGUUGGUGUGAUAAAAUGGGCCUGUGAGUGCGCUUGGGAGGGGAUUUCUUGGGUUUUUUCCCCGGGCAACA